RNAcentral lists this transfer RNA (74 nucleotides) under Eucalyptus grandis. It matches the Rfam family "tRNA". Rfam says of the family: Transfer RNA (tRNA) molecules are approximately 80 nucleotides in length. Their secondary structure includes four short double-helical elements and three loops (D, anti-codon, and T loops). Lineage: Eukaryota; Viridiplantae; Streptophyta; Magnoliopsida; Myrtales; Myrtaceae. The record is from Rfam by way of RNAcentral.
GCAGAUGUAGCCAAGUGGAUCAAGGCAGUGGAUUGUGAAUCCACCACGAGUGGGAGAUUUUCUCUUCAUCUGGG